Molecule: ribosomal RNA, 253 nt
Filed under: uncultured bacterium
Lineage: Bacteria
Description: partial 16S ribosomal RNA
Rfam family: Bacterial small subunit ribosomal RNA
Source: RNAcentral
UACGGAGGGGGCGAGCGUUAUUCGGAAUUAUUGGGCGUAAAGGGCGCGUAGGCGGGCCAGCCAGUCUGUGGUGAAAGCCUCCAGCUUAACUGGAGAAGUGCCGUGGAUACUGCUGGCCUCGAGGAGGAUAGGGGCAUCUGGAACGGUCGGUGGAGCGGUGAAAUGCGUUGAUAUCGACCGGAACUCCGGUGGCGAAGGCGAGGUGCUGGGUCCUUUCUGACGCUGAUGCGCGAAAGCCAGGGGAGCAAACGGG